Molecule: unclassified non-coding RNA, 408 nt
Filed under: Bernardia scabra
Lineage: Eukaryota; Viridiplantae; Streptophyta; Magnoliopsida; Malpighiales; Euphorbiaceae
Description: partial external transcribed spacer
Source: RNAcentral
CAUGCUCGAGCAUCGAACUGUUGAUAUGCGAUCCUUUCAGUUUUUGGGCAAGCAUCGAUGCUUAUGUCCAAGAGAAAUCUCGGGUUCCUGUGCUGCAUACCCACGAUAGGGGAAUUCCAAUGUGAUGCUGUCUUGAUUUUCGCCCAUGUGACCCUUACGGGGCAUACGGUGGACAACGAAGCGCAUCUUGUGCCUCUAACAUGUCGGUAUUGACUGUUGAGAGGCAUGGGACGUCGCUCGUGCUCUAGGAUGCUGAACUACUUUAAGCGUGGCAGAGGGAUCCUUGUCCCUUGAUUAGCCCGAUGUCCCUGAUGCAUAAACGACUGAAAUGCCCGUUUCGAGGCCAAGGCAUGCUGCAUCGUCGGUUGCCACGGCCUGGUGCGGGCGUUGAAGUCCCUGAAGGAAUGC